RNAcentral lists this long non-coding RNA (219 nucleotides) under Prunus dulcis (almond). RNAcentral describes it as "sRNA ncRNA". The record is from RNAcentral. Lineage: Eukaryota; Viridiplantae; Streptophyta; Magnoliopsida; Rosales; Rosaceae.
AUCAUCAAUUUAACAAAAGACUAGCGGUCAAAUUAACAGAAUAUGUAAAUUGAUCGAAUCCUAAAAUGUUAGGGUGUAAAUUGAUAAAAUUAAAACCCGGGAGUCUAGAUUAAGAAUGACCCUAAACCUUGAGGGGUUUUUUGCUCUUAGCACAUAAAAUAAUGAAAUUGAAAGAGUUAGUAUUACUAAGAAAGUUCUGACUGAGAAAGAAAAAGAAAG